AAUACUGUGGAUUCAUUUAUUUUCGUGGGUACCAAUUUUCGUGGAUAAGGGAAAACAUGGAUGUUCGUGGAUAUUUAAUUUCGUGGUUUUGAUGCAGUCUUCCUAUAAGCCCAUAGCAAAUUUGUCAUUCGUGGAACAUUUAAUUUCGUGGUUUACAUGUAACCACGAAACUCACGAAAAUUGGUAUCCAACGAAAAUUAAU
RNAcentral lists this long non-coding RNA (202 nucleotides) under Mytilus galloprovincialis (Mediterranean mussel). Lineage: Eukaryota; Metazoa; Mollusca; Bivalvia; Mytilida; Mytilidae. The record is from RNAcentral.